CCUACGGGUGGCUGCAGUGAGGAAUAUUGGUCAAUGGGCUAAGGCCUGAACCAGCCAAGUCGCGUGAGGGAAGACGGUCCUAUGGAUUGUAAACCUCUUUUGUCGGGGAGCAACGAGGCCACGUGUGGCCGAAGUGAGAGUACCUGAAGAAAAAGCAUCGGCUAACUCCGUGCCAGCAGCCGCGGUAAUACGGAGGAUGCGAGCGUUAUCCGGAUUUAUUGGGUUUAAAGGGUGCGUAGGCGGAAUAUCAAGUCAGCGGUAAAAAUUCGGGGCUCAACCCCGUCGUGCCGUUGAAACUGAUGUUCUUGAGUGGGCGAGAAGUAUGCGGAAUGCGUGGUGUAGCGGUGAAAUGCAUAGAUAUCACGCAGAACUCCGAUUGCGAAGGCAGCAUACCGGCGCCCAACUGACGCUGAAGCACGAAAGCGUGGGUAUCGAACAGGAUUAGAUACCCCUGUAGUC
Molecule: ribosomal RNA, 459 nt
Filed under: uncultured bacterium
Lineage: Bacteria
Description: partial 16S ribosomal RNA
Rfam family: Bacterial small subunit ribosomal RNA
Source: RNAcentral